RNAcentral lists this ribosomal RNA (472 nucleotides) under uncultured bacterium. RNAcentral's name for it is "partial 16S ribosomal RNA". It matches the Rfam family "Bacterial small subunit ribosomal RNA", at positions 28 to 507 of the family's 1533-position model. The record is from RNAcentral.
GACGAACGCUGGCGGCGUGCUUAACACAUGCAAGUCGAACGAUGAACCCGGAGCUUGCUCUGGGGGAUUAGUGGCGAACGGGUGAGUAACACGUGAGUAACCUGCCCUGGACUCUGGGAUAAGCGUUGGAAACGACGUCUAAUACCGGAUAGGACCUUGGAUCGCAUGAUCUGGGGUGGAAAGUUUUUUCGGUCUGGGAUGGACACGCGGCCUAUCAGCUUGUUGGUGAGGUAAUGGCUCACCAAGGCGUCGACGGGUAGCCGGCCUGAGAGGGUGACCGGCCACACUGGGACUGAGACACGGCCCAGACUCCUACGGGAGGCAGCAGUGGGGAAUAUUGCACAAUGGGCGAAAGCCUGAUGCAGCAACGCCGCGUGCGGGAUGACGGCCUUCGGGUUGUAAACCGCUUUUAGUAGGGAAGAAGGGCUUCGGCUUGACGGUACCUGCAGAAAAAGGACCGGCUAACUACGUG